RNAcentral lists this transfer RNA (68 nucleotides) under Ailuropoda melanoleuca (giant panda). It matches the Rfam family "tRNA". Rfam says of the family: Transfer RNA (tRNA) molecules are approximately 80 nucleotides in length. Their secondary structure includes four short double-helical elements and three loops (D, anti-codon, and T loops). Lineage: Eukaryota; Metazoa; Chordata; Mammalia; Carnivora; Ursidae. The record is from Rfam by way of RNAcentral.
GCCUGGUUGGCUCAGUGGAGCAUGUGACCCUUGAUCUCAGGGUUUGGGUUCAAAUCCCACGUUGGGUG